UCGAAAGUGCGGCUGACUAUACAUGCAGUCCGAGCGCUACGGAUGUGCACCUUGCUCCCUAGAUGUCAGGGGCGGACGGGUGAGUAACACGUGGGUAACCUGCCUGUAAGACUGGGAUAACUCCGGGAAACCGGGGCUAAUACCGGAUGCUUGAUUGAACCGCCCGGUUCAAUUAUUAAAGGUGGCUUUUACCUACCACUUACAGAUGGACCCCCGGCGCACUAUCUAGUUGGUGAGGUAACGGCUCACCAAGGCGGCGAUGCGUAGCCCCCUGAGAGGGUGAUCGGCCACACUGGGACUGAGACACGGCCCACACUCCUACGGGAGGCAGCAGUAGGGAAUCUUCCGCAAUGGACGAAAGUCUGACGGAGCAACGCCCGUGAGUGAUGAAGGUUUUCGGAUCGUAAAACUCUGUUGUUAGGGAAGAAAAGUACCGUUCGAAUAGGGCGGUACCUUGACGGUACCUAACCAAAAAGCCACGGCUAACUACGUGCCAGCAGCCGCGGUAAUACGUAGGUGGCAAGCGUUGUCCGGAAUUAUUGGGCGUAAAGCGCGCGCAGGCGGUUUCUUAAGUCUGAUGUGAAAGCCCCCGGCUCAACCGGGGAGGGUCAUUGGAAACUGGGGAACUUGAGUGCAGAAGAGGAGAGUGGAAUUCCACGUGUAGCGGUGAAAUGCGUAAAGAUGUGGAGGAACACCAGUGGCGAAGGCGACUCUCUGGUCUGUAACUGACGCUAAGGCGCGAAAGCGUGGGGAGCGAACAGGAUUAGAUACCCUGGUAGUCCACGCCGUAAACGAUGAGUGCUAAGUGUUAGAGGGUUUCCGCCCCUUUAGUGCUGCAGCAAACGCAUUAAGCACUCCGCCUGGGGAGUACGGUCGCAAGACUGAAACUCAAAGGAAUUGACGGGGGCCCGCACAAGCGGUGGAGCAUGUGGUUUAAUUCGAAGCAACGCGAAGAACCUUACCAGGUCUUGACAUCCUCUGACACCCCUAGAAAUAGGGCUUUCCCUUCGGGGGCAAAAAAGACAGGUGGUGCAUGGUUUUCGUCACCUCCUGUCCUGAAAAUUUUGGGUUAAAUCCCCCCACCAAGGCCAACCCUUGAUCUUAUUUGCCACCAUUAAUUUGGGGACUCUUAGGUGACGGCCGGUGACAA
Molecule: ribosomal RNA, 1150 nt
Filed under: Streptomyces sp.
Lineage: Bacteria; Bacillati; Actinomycetota; Actinomycetes; Kitasatosporales; Streptomycetaceae
Description: bacterial SSU rRNA
Rfam family: Bacterial small subunit ribosomal RNA
Source: RNAcentral